This 424-nucleotide ribosomal RNA is filed under the name uncultured bacterium. RNAcentral describes it as "partial 16S ribosomal RNA". It matches the Rfam family "Bacterial small subunit ribosomal RNA", at positions 360 to 776 of the family's 1533-position model. The record is from RNAcentral.
AAUUUUGGACAAUGGGGGAAACCCUGAUCCAGCCAUCCCGCGUGUGCGAUGAAUGCCUUAGGUUUGUAAAGCACUUUUGGCAGGGAAGAAAAGGCUCUGGUUAAUACCCGGAGCUGCUGACGGUACCGGCAGAAUAUGCACCGGCUAACUACGUGCCAGCAGCGGCGGUAAUACGUAGGGUGCAAGCUUUAAUCGGAAUUACUGGGCGUAAAGCGUGCGCAGGCGGUUUGGCAAGAAGGAUGUGAAAUCCCAGGGCUUAACCUUGGAACUGCAUUCUUAACUGCCAGGCUAGAGUAUGUCAGAGGGGGGUAGAAAUCCGCGUGUAGCAGUGAAAUGCGUAGGGAUGCGGAGGAAUACCGAUGGCGAAGGCAGCCCCCUGGGAUAAUACUGACGCUCAUGCACGGAAGCGUGGGGAGCAAACAAG